This 474-nucleotide ribosomal RNA is filed under the name uncultured bacterium. RNAcentral describes it as "bacterial SSU rRNA". It matches the Rfam family "Bacterial small subunit ribosomal RNA", at positions 8 to 474 of the family's 1533-position model. The record is from RNAcentral.
AGAGUUUGAUCAUGGCUCAGAUUGAACGCUGGCGGCAUGCUUAAUACAUGCAAGUCGAACGGUAACAGAUUCUUCGGAAUGCUGACGAGUGGCGGACGGGUGAGUAAUACAUAGGAAUCUGCCCAUGUAGUGGGGGACAACUUGGGGAAACUCAAGCUAAUACCGCAUAAUUCCUACGGGAUAAAGAGGGCCACUGCUUGCAAGCUCUUGCUACUGGAUGAGCCUAUGUCGGAUUAGUUAGUUGGUAAGGUAAUGGCUUACCAAGACAGCGAUCCGUAGCUGGUUUGAGAGGAUGAUCAGCCACACUGGGACUGAGACACGGCCCAGACUCCUACGGGAGGCAGCAGUAGGGAGUAUUGGACAAUGGGCGCAAGCCUGAUCCAGCAAUGCCGCGUGUGUGAAGAAGGCCUGCGGGUUGUAAAGUACUUUCAAUUGGGAAGAAAGAUUAUGAGUUAAUACCUUAUAAUAUUGACG